RNAcentral lists this ribosomal RNA (165 nucleotides) under Escherichia coli. Its description in RNAcentral is "partial 23S ribosomal RNA". It matches the Rfam family "Bacterial large subunit ribosomal RNA", at positions 1 to 166 of the family's 2925-position model. Lineage: Bacteria; Pseudomonadati; Pseudomonadota; Gammaproteobacteria; Enterobacterales; Enterobacteriaceae. RNAcentral also lists the same sequence under 1 other name. The record is from RNAcentral.
GGUUAAGCGACUAAGCGUACACGGUGGAUGCCCUGGCAGUCAGAGGCGAUGAAGGACGUGCUAAUCUGCGAUAAGCGUCGGUAAGGUGAUAUGAACCGUUAUAACCGGCGAUUUCCGAAUGGGGAAACCCAGUGUGUUUCGACACACUAUCAUUAACUGAAUCCA